Molecule: ribosomal RNA, 429 nt
Filed under: Verrucomicrobiota bacterium
Lineage: Bacteria; Pseudomonadati; Verrucomicrobiota
Description: Verrucomicrobia bacterium partial 16S ribosomal RNA
Rfam family: Bacterial small subunit ribosomal RNA
Source: RNAcentral
UAGGGAAUCUUCGGCAAUGGGGGGAACCCUGACCGGGCAACGCCGCGUGAGUGAAGAAGGUUUUCGGAUCGUAAAGCUCUGUUGUUAAGGAAGAACGAGUGUGAGAAUGGAAAGUUCAUGCUGUGACGGUACUUAACCAGAAAGGGACGGCUAACUACGUGCCAGCAGCCGCGGUAAUACGUAGGUCCCGAGCGUUGUCCGGAUUUAUUGGGCGUAAAGCGAGCGCAGGCGGUUAGAAAAGUCUGAAGUGAAAGGCAGUGGCUCAACCAUUGUAGGCUUUGGAAACUGUUUAACUUGAGUGCAGAAGGGGAGAGUGGAAUUCCAUGUGUAGCGGUGAAAUGCGUAGAUAUAUGGAGGAACACCGGUGGCGAAAGCGGCUCUCUGGUCUGUAACUGACGCUGAGGCUCGAAAGCGUGGGGAGCGAACAGG